RNAcentral lists this ribosomal RNA (497 nucleotides) under uncultured bacterium. RNAcentral describes it as "partial 16S ribosomal RNA". It matches the Rfam family "Bacterial small subunit ribosomal RNA", at positions 28 to 507 of the family's 1533-position model. The record is from RNAcentral.
GAUGAACGCUGGCGGCGUGCCUAAUACAUGCAAGUCGAGCGAACGGACGAGAAGCUUGCUUCUCUGAUGUUAGCGGCGGACGGGUGAGUAACACGUGGAUAACCUACCUAUAAGACUGGGAUAACGUCGGGAAACCGGAGCUAAUACCGGAUGAUAUUUUGAACCGCAUGGUUCAAAAGUGAAAGACGGUCUUGCUGUCACUUAUAGAUGGAUCCGCGCUGCAUUAGCUAGUUGGUAAGGUAACGGCUUACCAAGGCAACGAUGCAUAGCCGACCUGAGAGGGUGAUCGGCCACACUGGAACUGAGACACGGUCCAGACUCCUACGGGAGGCAGCAGUGGGGAAUCUUCCGCAAUGGGCGAAAGCCUGACGGAGCCACGCCGCGUGAGUGAUGAAGGUCUUCGGAUCGUAAAACUCUGUUAUUAGGGAAGAACAUAUGUGUAAGUAACUGUGCACAUCUUGACGGUACCUACUCAGAAAGCCACGGCUAACUACGUG